GGUCCCGUGGUCAAGAGGUUAAGACACCGCCCUUUCACGGCGGUAUCAGGGGUUCGAUUCCCCUCGGGACUACCA
Molecule: transfer RNA, 75 nt
Filed under: Clostridia bacterium
Lineage: Bacteria; Bacillati; Bacillota; Clostridia
Description: tRNA-Glu
Rfam family: tRNA
About the family: Transfer RNA (tRNA) molecules are approximately 80 nucleotides in length. Their secondary structure includes four short double-helical elements and three loops (D, anti-codon, and T loops).
Source: RNAcentral